This 94-nucleotide transfer RNA is filed under the name Anaerolineae bacterium. Its description in RNAcentral is "tRNA-Sec". It matches the Rfam family "Selenocysteine transfer RNA". Lineage: Bacteria; Bacillati; Chloroflexota; Anaerolineae. The record is from RNAcentral.
GGGGGCGAAUGCGUCCCGGUGGGCGUCCCGGUCUUCAAAACCGUUGGCAGGCUGCGUGACAGGCUGCGGUGGGUUCGACUCCCAUUCGCUCCCG